RNAcentral lists this ribosomal RNA (491 nucleotides) under uncultured bacterium. RNAcentral describes it as "partial 16S ribosomal RNA". It matches the Rfam family "Bacterial small subunit ribosomal RNA", at positions 28 to 507 of the family's 1533-position model. The record is from RNAcentral.
GAUGAACGCUAGCUACAGGCUUAACACAUGCAAGUCGAGGGGAAACGACAUUGAAGUUUGCCUCGAUGGUCGUCGACGGGCGCACGGGUGAGUAACGCGUAUCCUACCUUUCUCCGACGGAGGGAUAAUCGGUACAAAGUCGGCCUCAUCCCUUAUGCAGUCGUCGGAAGUUCUCUGAUUACGACGAACGAUUUCAUCGGUGAGAGAUGGGGAUGCGUCCGAUUAGCUUGUUGGUGGGGUAACGGCCCACCAAGGCAACGAUCAGUAGGGGUUCGGAGAGGAAGGUCCCCGGCAUUGGAACUGAGACACAGUCCAAACGCGUACGGGAGGGAGCGGAGUGGAGUAUUGGGCAAUGAGGGAGAGCCUGAACCAGCCAAGUAGCGUACAGGAUGACGGCCCUAUGAGUUGUAAUCUGCUGUGAAGCAGGGGUAAAAUGAGGGACGUGUCCUUCAUUGCAGGUACCGAAUGAAUAAGGACCGGCUAAUUCCGUG